Molecule: ribosomal RNA, 1128 nt
Filed under: Bacillus aerius
Lineage: Bacteria; Bacillati; Bacillota; Bacilli; Caryophanales; Bacillaceae
Description: bacterial SSU rRNA
Rfam family: Bacterial small subunit ribosomal RNA
Source: RNAcentral
CAGCAGUAGGGAAUUCUUCCGCAAUGGACGAAAGUCUGACGGAGGCAACGCCGCGUGAGUGAUGAAGCUUUCGGAUCGUAAAGCUCUGUUGUUAGGGAAGAACAAGUGCUAGAGUAAAUGCUUGCACCUUGACGGUACCUAACCAGAAAGCCACGGCUAACUACGUGCCAGCAGCCGCGGUAAUACGUAGGUGGCAAGCGUUGUCCGGAAUUAUUGGGCGUAAAGGGCUCGCAGGCGGUUUCUUAAGUCUGAUGUGAAAGCCCCCGGCUCAACCGGGGAGGGUCAUUGGAAACUGGGAAACUUGAGUGCAGAAGAGGAGAGUGGAAUUCCACGUGUAGCGGUGAAAUGCGUAGAGAUGUGGAGGAACACCAGUGGCGAAGGCGACUCUCUGGUCUGUAACUGACGCUGAGGAGCGAAAGCGUGGGGAGCGAACAGGAUUAGAUACCCUGGUAGUCCACGCCGUAAACGAUGAGUGCUAAGUGUUAGGGGGUUUCCGCCCCUUAGUGCUGCAGCUAACGCAUUAAGCACUCCGCCUGGGGAGUACGGUCGCAAGACUGAAACUCAAAGGAAUUGACGGGGGCCCGCACAAGCGGUGGAGCAUGUGGUUUAAUUCGAAGCAACGCGAAGAACCUUACCAGGUCUUGACAUCCUCUGACAACCCUAGAGAUAGGGCUUUCCCUUCGGGGACAGAGUGACAGGUGGUGCAUGGUUGUCGUCAGCUCGUGUCGUGAGAUGUUGGGUUAAGUCCCGCAACGAGCGCAACCCUUGAUCUUAGUUGCCAGCAUUCAGUUGGGCACUCUAAGGUGACUGCCGGUGACAAACCGGAGGAAGGUGGGGAUGACGUCAAAUCAUCAUGCCCCUUAUGACCUGGGCUACACACGUGCUACAAUGGACAGAACAAAGGGCUGCGAGACCGCAAGGUUUAGCCAAUCCCACAAAUCUGUUCUCAGUUCGGAUCGCAGUCUGCAACUCGCCUGCGUGAAGCUGGAAUCGCUAGUAAUCGCGGAUCAGCAUGCCGCGGUGAAUACGUUCCCGGGCCUUGUACACACCGCCCGUCACACCACGAAAGAGGCAACACCGGAAGUCGCCGGGGUCACCAAGUGGAAACAAGGUAACCAUAGAGUUCCG